GGAAAUCCAUUUUUUCAUUGAUUGAUUUUAUUGCUGAGAGGGUCCACCAUGUUAUCUGUAGUCAUGGCGACAUCCCAUCAUCGGACUCCAGUUUACCAGUUGCUAUAAAUCACCAGACUUGUGAGUUAAAGACUGAUCAUGUGAUGAAGGGAUGUUUGCCGUAUCGCCGGGCGGACUGCCGGAAUCCUUCGAGGCAUCUCGCAGGGCAGGCUUACCCUCCAUCCGCAUGGCAGGCUAUAUCAACAGCAGGGGGAUGCUUGUGGAGAGAGUGAUGUCGUUGGUGAACCCUUGUGGCAAGGAGGACGUCAAAGACCAGCUGCAUUAUUCUCUUGCAAGGACCCUCGUUUAUAUUUUCUUCCUUCUUUUUGUUUGAUUUGACUCAUCC
Molecule: long non-coding RNA, 385 nt
Filed under: Gadus morhua (Atlantic cod)
Lineage: Eukaryota; Metazoa; Chordata; Actinopteri; Gadiformes; Gadidae
Description: lncRNA (ENSGMOG00000028569.1)
Source: RNAcentral